UGGAGGCAGCCGGGCAGGUUGCGCGCCUCGUGGGCGCGGUAGAAGGAGCCGUCGUACGAGACGACGGGCUCCCUC
This 75-nucleotide transfer RNA is filed under the name Streptomyces reticuli. RNAcentral's name for it is "tRNA-Thr". The record is from RNAcentral. Lineage: Bacteria; Bacillati; Actinomycetota; Actinomycetes; Kitasatosporales; Streptomycetaceae. RNAcentral also lists the same sequence under 1 other name.